AUUUUGGUGGCUGAAUUAGGCGGUAGAUUGUAAAUCUUCUUAUGGUAAAUUACCCAGGGUU
RNAcentral lists this transfer RNA (61 nucleotides) under Auriculastra duplicata. Its description in RNAcentral is "tRNA-Tyr". The record is from RNAcentral. Lineage: Eukaryota; Metazoa; Mollusca; Gastropoda; Ellobiida; Ellobiidae.